This 1542-nucleotide ribosomal RNA is filed under the name Salmonella enterica. Its description in RNAcentral is "bacterial SSU rRNA". It matches the Rfam family "Bacterial small subunit ribosomal RNA". Lineage: Bacteria; Pseudomonadati; Pseudomonadota; Gammaproteobacteria; Enterobacterales; Enterobacteriaceae. RNAcentral also lists the same sequence under 7 other names. The record is from RNAcentral.
AAAUUGAAGAGUUUGAUCAUGGCUCAGAUUGAACGCUGGCGGCAGGCCUAACACAUGCAAGUCGAACGGUAACAGGAAGCAGCUUGCUGCUUUGCUGACGAGUGGCGGACGGGUGAGUAAUGUCUGGGAAACUGCCUGAUGGAGGGGGAUAACUACUGGAAACGGUGGCUAAUACCGCAUAACGUCGCAAGACCAAAGAGGGGGACCUUCGGGCCUCUUGCCAUCAGAUGUGCCCAGAUGGGAUUAGCUUGUUGGUGAGGUAACGGCUCACCAAGGCGACGAUCCCUAGCUGGUCUGAGAGGAUGACCAGCCACACUGGAACUGAGACACGGUCCAGACUCCUACGGGAGGCAGCAGUGGGGAAUAUUGCACAAUGGGCGCAAGCCUGAUGCAGCCAUGCCGCGUGUAUGAAGAAGGCCUUCGGGUUGUAAAGUACUUUCAGCGGGGAGGAAGGUGUUGUGGUUAAUAACCGCAGCAAUUGACGUUACCCGCAGAAGAAGCACCGGCUAACUCCGUGCCAGCAGCCGCGGUAAUACGGAGGGUGCAAGCGUUAAUCGGAAUUACUGGGCGUAAAGCGCACGCAGGCGGUCUGUCAAGUCGGAUGUGAAAUCCCCGGGCUCAACCUGGGAACUGCAUUCGAAACUGGCAGGCUUGAGUCUUGUAGAGGGGGGUAGAAUUCCAGGUGUAGCGGUGAAAUGCGUAGAGAUCUGGAGGAAUACCGGUGGCGAAGGCGGCCCCCUGGACAAAGACUGACGCUCAGGUGCGAAAGCGUGGGGAGCAAACAGGAUUAGAUACCCUGGUAGUCCACGCCGUAAACGAUGUCUACUUGGAGGUUGUGCCCUUGAGGCGUGGCUUCCGGAGCUAACGCGUUAAGUAGACCGCCUGGGGAGUACGGCCGCAAGGUUAAAACUCAAAUGAAUUGACGGGGGCCCGCACAAGCGGUGGAGCAUGUGGUUUAAUUCGAUGCAACGCGAAGAACCUUACCUGGUCUUGACAUCCACAGAACUUUCCAGAGAUGGAUUGGUGCCUUCGGGAACUGUGAGACAGGUGCUGCAUGGCUGUCGUCAGCUCGUGUUGUGAAAUGUUGGGUUAAGUCCCGCAACGAGCGCAACCCUUAUCCUUUGUUGCCAGCGGUCCGGCCGGGAACUCAAAGGAGACUGCCAGUGAUAAACUGGAGGAAGGUGGGGAUGACGUCAAGUCAUCAUGGCCCUUACGACCAGGGCUACACACGUGCUACAAUGGCGCAUACAAAGAGAAGCGACCUCGCGAGAGCAAGCGGACCUCAUAAAGUGCGUCGUAGUCCGGAUUGGAGUCUGCAACUCGACUCCAUGAAGUCGGAAUCGCUAGUAAUCGUGGAUCAGAAUGCCACGGUGAAUACGUUCCCGGGCCUUGUACACACCGCCCGUCACACCAUGGGAGUGGGUUGCAAAAGAAGUAGGUAGCUUAACCUUCGGGGGGGCGCUUACCACUUUGUGAUUCAUGACUGGGGUGAAGUCGUAACAAGGUAACCGUAGGGGAACCUGCGGUUGGAUCACCUCCUUA